Molecule: long non-coding RNA, 1041 nt
Organism: Oncorhynchus tshawytscha (Chinook salmon)
Lineage: Eukaryota; Metazoa; Chordata; Actinopteri; Salmoniformes; Salmonidae
Exons: 3
Source: RefSeq, a predicted model, not a curated record
AACUAGCUGAAAAGAGCCACAUACGAUUCCCCACAAGGCAGCUUGUCAUUGUUGCUAGCUAUCUGGCCAUCCAGAAUCACAACACACGGCUUUCUGCCAGUGGUAAACUAACCCAUCGAUUGUUAUUCUUCAUUAUUACAAAAGUGCCAUCUAGCGGCAUGAGGAUGCACAGUCAAAAAUAACGUAGGCGCCAGAAUGUGCAGGAAUCUCAAUCCACAAUAUUCUGAAGUUUCCCGUUUGAAGUAGACUUCUUAUUGCAGAUGUUUUCUCCCGGAGUUAGCUAGCUAACUUAAUCGCUAGUUGAAUAGUACAUUUUUACCUUCGUUGUUAACGUUGUUUUUUUGUUUGGUUCAAGCUAAUACACCAUUAAAAAGGUCAGAAUGCACGCGUCCACCAUGGUACACAUUCCAUCGUCUACCAACUGCAGAAGAAGACUAAGCGAUUGUGGUUGCGAAAUCUCCAAUGAAAGAAACCACCGAAGACAUUGUGUGUGCUCGUUCCACUUUGUUGACCAAGUCGAGAACCCUUACCCAACCCUAUGACUAGGCUGCGAUAGAGCUCCAGAGAAGAAACGCCAACGACAGUUGCAAAGAGUCACUGACAACAUUAUGACAGCAGGUGACUGUCAAGCAUGGGCGAGUUAGUCACCUCCUGCACCCCAGGGCUUCUCUGAUGCUCAGUCACAAUGGAUGGAUCCCAUUCUGGAGGGCCACAACUAUUGCAGUCUAACUAUACAGAUCAGCAGUGCCAUGGAGAUGACCCAGGUAUCCAAUGAGGGAUCGAGAACUUUUGCCGACAGUCUGGUUGCCAAACCUGCAGAUACUAUACAGUAUAUCACAAAAAUGGACACUUCAUCACCAUCCUCGACCUUUGUUAUUCCAGAGGGGAAGAUCCACACGAUGUGGAGUACAUCUGGAGAGCUAUUCCAGACCUGGUGAAGGUCAUGGAAUACAACAGCAGUCUCAAUAGAUUGACUGGUUACACACCCAUUGGGACACAUAAUGCUGAGCAAUUAAACACCGAUCCCGUGGUCCUGGCAUC